This 671-nucleotide ribosomal RNA is filed under the name Myxozoa environmental sample cf. Myxidium gadi. RNAcentral describes it as "SSU rRNA". It matches the Rfam family "Eukaryotic small subunit ribosomal RNA", at positions 347 to 1029 of the family's 1831-position model. The record is from RNAcentral. Lineage: Eukaryota; Metazoa; Cnidaria; Myxozoa.
AGGUUGUGACGGGUAACGGGGAAUCAGGGUUCGAUUCCGGAGAGGGAGCCUGAUAAACGGCUACCACAUCUAAGGAAGGCAGCAGGCGCGCAAAUUACCCAAUCCAGACAUUGGGAGGUAGUGACGAGAAAUACCAAAGUGUGCCGUAAAAGGUUUCACUAUUGGAAUGAACGUAACAUAGUACCUUCGCUGAGUACCUACUGGAGGGCAAGUCUGGUGCCAGCAGCCGCGGUAAUUCCAGCUCCAGUAGUGUAUAUCAAAAUUGUUGCGGUUAAAACGCUCGUAGUUGGAUUACCAAAGUCUGGCGUCAAUUGAGCAUUCGUUUGAUUGGCGUCGGGCUUUUUUAUCGCAAGAACCACUUGUGCACUUAACUGUGUGUGGGUGGCCACUUGCGGAGCGUGCCUUGAAUAAAGCACAGUGCUCAAAGCAGGCGUAACGCUUGAAUGUUAUAGCAUGGAACGAAUAACCUGACCUAGUUCAGUUAGUUGGUUCUCUGAACCGGGUCCUGAUUAAAAGGGACAUUUGAGGGCGUUAGUACUUGGUGGCGAGAGGUGAAAUUCUUAGACCCACCAAAGACUCACUAAUGCGAAAGCAUUCGCCAAGAAUGUUUUCAUUGAUCAAGAACGAAAGUUAGAGGUUCGAAGACGAUCAGAUACCGUCCUAGUUCUAUA